UACGUAGGGGGCAAGCGUUGUCCGGAAUCAUUGGGCGUAAAGCGCGCGUAGGCGGCCCGGUAAGUCCGUUGUGAAAGUCAAAGGCUCAACCUUUGAACGCCGAUGGAUACUGCCGGGCUAGAGUCCGGAAGAGGCGAGUGGAAUUCCUGGUGUAGCGGUGGAAUGCGCAGAUAUCAGGGGGAACACCAAUAGCGAAGGCAGCUCGCUGGGACGGUACUGACGCUGAGGCGCGAAAGCGUGGGGAGCGAACAGG
This 253-nucleotide ribosomal RNA is filed under the name uncultured bacterium. RNAcentral's name for it is "partial 16S ribosomal RNA". It matches the Rfam family "Bacterial small subunit ribosomal RNA", at positions 524 to 776 of the family's 1533-position model. The record is from RNAcentral.